RNAcentral lists this ribosomal RNA (434 nucleotides) under uncultured Lachnospiraceae bacterium. RNAcentral's name for it is "partial 16S ribosomal RNA". It matches the Rfam family "Bacterial small subunit ribosomal RNA", at positions 341 to 792 of the family's 1533-position model. Lineage: Bacteria; Bacillati; Bacillota; Clostridia; Lachnospirales; Lachnospiraceae. The record is from RNAcentral.
ACGGAAGGCAGCAGUGGGGAAUAUUGCACAAUGGGCGAAAGCCUGAUGCAGCGACGCCGCGUGAGUGAAGAAGUAUCUCGGUAUGUAAAGCUCUAUCAGCAGGGAAGAAAAUGACGGUACCUGACUAAGAAGCCCCGGCUAACUACGUGCCAGCAGCCGCGGUAAUACGUAGGGGGCAAGCGUUAUCCGGAUUUACUGGGUGUAAAGGGAGCGUAGACGGCUUGGCAAGUCUGAAGUGAAAUGCGGGGGCUCAACUCCUGAACUGCUUUGGAAACUGUCGAACUAGAGUGCAGGAGAGGUAAGUGGAAUUCCUAGUGUAGCGGUGAAAUGCGUAGAUAUUAGGAGGAACACCAGUGGCGAAGGCGGCUUACUGGACUGUAACUGACGUUGAGGCUCGAAAGCGUGGGGAGCAAACAGGAUUAGAUACCCUGGUA